RNAcentral lists this long non-coding RNA (370 nucleotides) under Phoenix dactylifera (date palm). RNAcentral describes it as "long non-coding RNA (PDAC_LNC001507)". Lineage: Eukaryota; Viridiplantae; Streptophyta; Magnoliopsida; Arecales; Arecaceae. The record is from RNAcentral.
GGAGACCUUAGCUGUUUUUGUGUUGACAUGUAUUGUUUUGCUUUACUUAUUGUAUUCUCAAAUGUAUUUACAUACAAAUCAAUACAAUGAGUAGCCAUAUUUUCUGCAAUUCUGUGCCAUUUGAUCUAUGAUUGAUUGUGUGUUCUGAUUACCUCCUUUUUGAUACAAUGACAAAAAGGGGGAGAAAUAUUUAAUAUAUAUGUAAAUAGAAUCAACAUAAAAGGAAUCAAAAUGAAAAUUAAAACAUAAUUUGUUCUUAGUGGAUUUGGUACCUCGAGGCUCAUUAUCUCUCUGUUGGGGCUCCUAAUGGAGUAAUCUCCAGAAUCUAUUCAAGGGAUAUUCGGAGAUUAGUUGAAUCCAACUCAAGAAC